RNAcentral lists this ribosomal RNA (273 nucleotides) under uncultured prokaryote. RNAcentral's name for it is "partial 16S ribosomal RNA". It matches the Rfam family "Bacterial small subunit ribosomal RNA", at positions 524 to 796 of the family's 1533-position model. The record is from RNAcentral.
CACGUAGGGGGCGAGCGUUGUUCGGAAUUACUGGGCGUAAAGGGCAUGUAGGCGGCUCUGUAAGCCUGGCGUGAAAGUCACCGGCUCAACCGGUGGAUUGCGCUGGGAACUGCGGGGCUUGAAUCAUGGAGAGGGAGCUAGAAUUCCAGGUGUAGGGGUGAAAUCUGUAGAGAUCUGGAAGAAUACCAGUGGCGAAGGCGAGCUCCUGGCCAAUGAUUGACGCUGAGGUGCGAAAGUGUGGGGAUCAAACAGGAUUAGAAACCCUUGUAGUCC